RNAcentral lists this ribosomal RNA (253 nucleotides) under uncultured bacterium. RNAcentral's name for it is "partial 16S ribosomal RNA". It matches the Rfam family "Bacterial small subunit ribosomal RNA", at positions 524 to 776 of the family's 1533-position model. The record is from RNAcentral.
UACGGAGGGUGCAAGCGUUAUCCGGAUUCACUGGGUUUAAAGGGUGCGUAGGUGGGUUGGUAAGUCCGUGGUGAAAUCUCCGAGCUUAACUCGGAAACUGCCGUGGAUACUAUCAAUCUUGAAUACUGUGGAGGUAAGCGGAAUAUGUCAUGUAGCGGUGAAAUGCUUAGAUAUGACAUAGAACACCGAUAGCGAAGGCAGCUUGCUACACAGUCAUUGACACUGAGGCACGAAAGCGUGGGGAGCGAACAGG